AAAGCGUGCGCAGGCGGUUUUGUAAGUCUGUCGUGAAAUCCCCGGGCUCAACCUGGGAAUGGCGAUGGAGACUGCAAGGCUAGAGUUUGGCAGAGGGGGGUAGAAUUCCACGUGUAGCAGUGAAAUGCGUAGAUAUGUGGAGGAACACCGAUGGCGAAGGCAGCCCCCUGGGUCAAAACUGACGCUCAUGCACGAAAGCGUGGGGAGCAAACAGGAUUAGAUACCCUGGU
This 230-nucleotide ribosomal RNA is filed under the name uncultured bacterium. RNAcentral's name for it is "partial 16S ribosomal RNA". It matches the Rfam family "Bacterial small subunit ribosomal RNA", at positions 562 to 791 of the family's 1533-position model. The record is from RNAcentral.